Molecule: ribosomal RNA, 253 nt
Filed under: uncultured bacterium
Lineage: Bacteria
Description: partial 16S ribosomal RNA
Rfam family: Bacterial small subunit ribosomal RNA
Source: RNAcentral
UACGUAGGGUGCGAGCGUUAAUCGGAAUUACUGGGCGUAAAGCGUGCGCAGGCGGUUUUGUAAGCCAGGUGUGAAAUCCCCGGGCUCAACCUGGGAAUUGCGAUGGAGACUGCAAGGCUAGAAUCUGGCAGAGGGGGGUAGAAUUCCACGUGUAGCAGUGAAAUGCGUAGAGAUGUGGAGGAACACCGAUGGCGAAGGCAGCCUCCUGGGCCAGCACUGACGCUCAUGCACGAAAGCGUGGGGAGCAAACAGG